Molecule: ribosomal RNA, 452 nt
Filed under: uncultured bacterium
Lineage: Bacteria
Description: bacterial SSU rRNA
Rfam family: Bacterial small subunit ribosomal RNA
Source: RNAcentral
CAGCAGUGGGGGAAUAUUGCACAAUGGGCGCAAGCCUGAUGCAGCCAUGCCGCGUGUAUGAAGAAGGCCUUCGGGUUGUAAAGUACUUUCAGCAGUGAGGAAGGUGGGUAUGUUAAUAGCAUACUCAUUUGACGUUAGCUGCAGAAGAAGCACCGGCUAACUCCGUGCCAGCAGCCGCGGUAAUACGGAGGGCGCGAGCGUUAAUCGGAAUUACUGGGCGUAAAGCGCAUGCAGGUGGUUUGUUAAGUCAGAUGUGAAAGCCCCGGGCUCAACCUCGGAAUUGCAUUUGAAACUGGCAAACUAGAGUACUGUAGAGGGGGUAGAAUUUCAGGUGUAACGGUGAAAUGCGUAGAGAUCUGAAGGAAUACCGGUGGCGAAGGCGGCCCCCUGGACAGAUACUGACACUCAGAUGCGAAAGCGUGGGGAGCAAACAGGAUUAGAUACCCUGGUAG